This 331-nucleotide ribosomal RNA is filed under the name uncultured Flavobacterium sp. RNAcentral describes it as "bacterial SSU rRNA". It matches the Rfam family "Bacterial small subunit ribosomal RNA", at positions 1 to 336 of the family's 1533-position model. The record is from RNAcentral. Lineage: Bacteria; Pseudomonadati; Bacteroidota; Flavobacteriia; Flavobacteriales; Flavobacteriaceae.
UCGAGAGUUUGAUCCUGGCUCAGGAUGAACGCUAGCGGCAGGCUUAACACAUGCAAGUCGAGGGGUAUAGUUCUUCGGAGCUAGAGACCGGCGCACGGGUGCGUAACGCGUAUGCAAUCUACCUUUUACAGAGGGAUAGCCCAGAGAAAUUUGGAUUAAUACCUCAUAGUAUGUGAGAAUCGCAUGGUUUUUCACAUUAAAAGUUCCAACGGUAAAAGAUGAGCAUGCGUCCCAUUAGCUAGAUGGUAAGGUAACGGCUUACCAUGGCGACGAUGGGUAGGGGUCCUGAGAGGGAGAUCCCCCGACACUGGUACUGAGACACGGACCAGAC